UGCGUAGGCGGUUUGGUAAGUCUGAUGUGAAAUCUAUGGGCUCAACUCAUAGUCUGCAUCGGAAACUGCCGGGCUUGAGUGUGGGAGAGGUGAGUGGAAUUUCCGGUGUAGCGGUGAAAUGCGUAGAUAUCGGAAGGAACACCUGUGGCGAAAGCGGCUCACUGGACCACAACUGACGCUGAUGCACGAAAGCUAGGGGAGCAAACAGGAUUAGAUACCCUGGUAGUCCUAGCCCUAAACGAUGACUGCUUGGUGUGACGGGUACCCAAUCCCGCCGUGCCGUAGCUAACGCGUUAAGCAGUCCGCCUGGGGAGUACGGUCGCAAGGCUGA
This 331-nucleotide ribosomal RNA is filed under the name uncultured bacterium. Its description in RNAcentral is "bacterial SSU rRNA". It matches the Rfam family "Bacterial small subunit ribosomal RNA", at positions 568 to 897 of the family's 1533-position model. The record is from RNAcentral.